GACGAACGCUGGCGGCGUGCUUAACACAUGCAAGUCGAACGGUGAAGCGAGUGCUUGCACUCGUGGAUCAGUGGCGAACGGGUGAGUAACACGUGAGUAACCUGCCCAUCACUCUGGGAUAAGCACUGGAAACGGUGUCUAAUACUGGAUACGACCAACCCUUGCAUGGGGUGUUGGUGGAAAGAUUUAUCGGUGAUGGAUGGACUCGCGGCCUAUCAGCUUGUUGGCGGGGUAAUGGCCCACCAAGGCGACGACGGGUAGCCGGCCUGAGAGGGUGACCGGCCACACUGGGACUGAGACACGGCCCAGACUCCUACGGGAGGCAGCAGUGGGGAAUAUUGCACAAUGGGCGGAAGCCUGAUGCAGCGACGCCGCGUGAGGGAUGACGGCCUUCGGGUUGUAAACCUCUGUCAGCAGGGAAGAAGCGAAAGUGACGGUACCUGCAGAAGAAGCACCGGCUAACUACGUG
Molecule: ribosomal RNA, 469 nt
Filed under: uncultured bacterium
Lineage: Bacteria
Description: partial 16S ribosomal RNA
Rfam family: Bacterial small subunit ribosomal RNA
Source: RNAcentral